Long non-coding RNA from Beta vulgaris subsp. vulgaris (sugar beet), 1257 nucleotides. RefSeq lists it as uncharacterized. The transcript is spliced from 2 exons. The record is from RefSeq and is a predicted model, not a curated record. Lineage: Eukaryota; Viridiplantae; Streptophyta; Magnoliopsida; Caryophyllales; Amaranthaceae.
AUCAUUUACUUCAUUUUUUCCGCCUAUUUUUGGAAUUUAUCGCCAUUAAUCAAAUUUCUUAAUCUUAUGUUAUUCUUUUAGUAUUUGUUGAUCUUAUAUAUUUUUUUUUUUGUAUCUGCACAAUUUUGAGAUGAAAAAUGUUGUUUGUGGAAUUGAUGAAGAUUGCUGCAUGCAGCAUGCUGUUACUGUUGGUAGAGCAAGCGAUUUAAUUAAUAUUUUAGGAAAUAUUAUACAGAGGUUAGAUUCGCUAGAAGAAGGUAAAAGCGAGGUAGGAGAUGAUCAAAAUCAGCAAAUAUAAAGGUAUAUUUUAUGAUGCCAAAGAAUUAUUGGGUAUUAUAACAUACAAGAAAUUUGGAGCUUUACAUUGUUUAUGGUGUGAAGUGAUUUAAGAAUUUGUUUGGUUAUAUAAGAUGUGUUUAGUUUACUAAGUUUGGAAAGUCAGUCGAUUGAUAGGGUAUCUCUCGGUUCUUGAUCUCAUGGUGGUUUAAGUAUCGAUAGGGCUGGUGGUGAAGGACCCUACUUAUCAGGAAUAUCGGUCAAGGAUUAUCGGUUGGUUGCAGAAGGUUUUAUGUUGAAACAUAACAGUCCAGUUGAAACUGUUGCGUUUUUUGCCACAAUUGCUGUUAUAUAUGUUGGUCUUCUCCCCCGAUGUUUAUAUGACAGAAUAGAAUCUACUACUGGGUAGGAAAGUUUCACCCAAAAGGUAGCAUGAAGGGCCUUAGGACAUCUCGAGUGUUGGCUUCUUGUUGGUGCUUGAGAUUUUCCCGCAGGAUUUGGGGACAUGCUUAAUCAUUCGAUAGUGUAGCUGUACUCAGCUGUCUAGCCAAAAACAAGCUACCUUGCUUGCCUCUGUUCAGGAAAGGAAGCUGAUUAUGGAUUUACAUGUGCCCAAUCCAAGCUACAAUGUGCACAUUCAAGCUGAUUAAGAAGCUCGCCAUUAGAGAUGAUUGUGGCUGGAAAAUGAUGUAUCUGGAAAUGUUGAUGUGGCAAAUCAAGUUACAAAUCUUCCUGCAAUAUAACCUAUGUUGCACUAAUCGAGUCGACCUGCCAUGAGGCAUAUAAUCGACUUCUUCUACAGUUUGCGAAAUUGAGUAACGAAGAAUGUGCUAAUUCGCCAGCGUUGGUUGGCCUGGUCCAGUUUUUCUUUUUCUUCCUAUUCUUAAUUUUUUAAAUGGCAUGGCCACCAAAAAGCACACAUUGGCAAACAUUUGUAUACUAGCAGCCUAAGUAAUAAAUUUGCUAUUGCUCAUUUCUUAA